Molecule: unclassified non-coding RNA, 269 nt
Filed under: air metagenome
Description: partial contains small subunit ribosomal RNA, internal transcribed spacer 1, and 5.8S ribosomal RNA
Rfam family: Eukaryotic small subunit ribosomal RNA (bases 1-46)
Source: RNAcentral
AAGUCGUAACAAGGUUUCCGUAGGUGAACCUGCGGAAGGAUCAUUAAUGAAAUGUACCCUCGGGAGGACUGUGCUGGCUCUCGCAGGUGCACGCCCUCCCUUGUUGUCCGUCCAUUCUCACACCUGUGCACCUUUAUGUGUUGGAUGAGGGGGGCCUUUUGUGCUCUUCUCGUCCGACUCUUUUUCACACCGUCCUCAAUGUCUUAUCGAAUGUCAAUUGCAUAAAUGCAACCGAAAUACAACUUUUAACAACGGAUCUCUUGGUUCUC